GACGGCCUGAUGAGCAAGGGUUCCUCGGCACUGUCAAUCAGCCGAGGGUUAGCCGAUCCUAAGUCCCCCCGUAAGUCGACGGGGACAACGGGAAACUGGUUAAUAUUCCAGUGCCAUCACGCAACAAAAGUCAACACCGCGGAAAACAUCGAGCCGGGCCUUCGCCCGGUCGAAUCGGAGAAGCUCGUGGACGCCGUCACGGCAAGAAGCGAGCGAAGCCCGAGACAGGGCAAGUCGAUGGUAUCCGGGGUCCGUGAAACGACGAGCGUGAUGAUCGUACCGAGAUCCGACACAGGUGCUCUCCCAGCGAAAGGGAAGGCCCGUCGGGAGAACCGACGUUAGGGAAUUCGGCAAGUUAGUCCCGUACCUUCGGAAGAAGGGAUGCCUGCUUUGGAGAAAGCAGGUCGCAGUGACUCGGGCGCUCCGACUGUCUAGUAACAACACAGGUGACCGCAAAUCCGCAAGGACUCGUACGGUCACUGAAUCCUGCCCAGUGCGGGUAUCUGAACACCUCGUACAAGAGGACGAAGGACCCGUCAACGGCGGGGGUAACUAUGACCCUCUUAAGGUAGCGUAGUACCUUGCCGCUUCAGUAGCGGCUUGCAUGAAUGGAUAAACGAGAGCGCCACUGUCCCAACGUUGGACCCGGUGAACUGUACGUUCCAGUGCGGAGUCUGGAGACCCCCAAGGGGAAGCGAAGACCCUAUAGAGCUUUACUGCAGGCUGUCGCUGAGACGUGGUCGCUACUGUGCAGCAUAGGUAGGAGCCGUUACACAGGUACCCGCGCUAGCGGGCCACCGAGGCAGCAUUGAAAUACUACCCGGUAGUGACUGCGACUCUCACUCCUGGCGGAGGACACCGGUAGCCGGGCAGUUUGACUGGGGCGGUACGCGCUCGAAAAGAUAUCGAGCGCGCCCGAAGAUCUCCUCACCCGGGUCGGGAACCCGGGGAAGAGCGCAAGAGCACACGGAGGUCUGACAGUGUCAUUCCCAACGAGUGACGCUGACGCGAAAGCGUGGUCUAGCGAACCUACGAGGCUCCGGAAUGGGGCCCGUAGAUGACAGAAAAGCUACCUUAGGGAUAACAGAGUCGUCACCCGCAAGAGCACAUAUCGACCGGGUGGCUUGCUACCUCGAUGUCGGUUCCCUCCAUCCUGCCCGUGCAGAAGCGGGCAAGGGUGAGGUUGUUCGCCUAUUAAAGGAGGUCGUGAGCUGGGUUUAGACCGUCGUGAGACAGGUCGGCUGCUAUCUAUUGGGGGUGUGAGGUACCUGACGUGAACGGUCGUAUAGUACGAGAGGAACUACGAUUGGUCGCCACUGGUGUACCGGUUGUUCGAGAGAGCAGAUGCCGGGUAGCCACGCGACACGGGGUAAGAGCUGAACGCAUCUAAGCUCGAAACCCACAUGGAAACGAGGUACCGUAGAGGUCCCGCCUAGAAGAGGCGGUAGAUAGACUCGGGGUGUACGCACCAAGGCAACGAGGUGUUAAGCCCACGAGCACUAACAGACCAAGC
Molecule: ribosomal RNA, 1513 nt
Filed under: Halopenitus persicus
Lineage: Archaea; Methanobacteriati; Methanobacteriota; Halobacteria; Halobacteriales; Haloferacaceae
Description: bacterial LSU rRNA
Rfam family: Archaeal large subunit ribosomal RNA
Source: RNAcentral